Molecule: ribosomal RNA, 406 nt
Filed under: uncultured Bordetella sp.
Lineage: Bacteria; Pseudomonadati; Pseudomonadota; Betaproteobacteria; Burkholderiales; Alcaligenaceae
Description: bacterial SSU rRNA
Rfam family: Bacterial small subunit ribosomal RNA
Source: RNAcentral
CCUACCCUUGACAUGUCUGGAAUCCCGAAGAGAUUUGGAGUGCUCGCAAGAGAACCGGAACACAGGUGCUGCAUGGCUGUCGUCAGCUCGUGUCGUGAGAUGUUGGGUUAAGUCCCGCAACGAGCGCAACCCUUGUCAUUAGUUGCUACGAAAGGGCACUCUAAUGAGACUGCCGGUGACAAACCGGAGGAAGGUGGGGAGUGACGUCAAGUCCUCAUGGCCCUUAUGGGUAGGGCUUCACACGUCAUACAAUGGUCGGGACAGAGGGUCGCCAACCCGCCGAGGGGGAGGCCAAUCCCAGAAACCCGAUCGUAGUCCGGAUUGUAGUCUGCAACUCGACUACAUGAAGUCGGAAUCGCUAGUAAUCGCGGAUCAGCAUGUCGCGGUGAAUACGUUCCCGGGUCUU